RNAcentral lists this unclassified non-coding RNA (253 nucleotides) under uncultured Alphaproteobacteria bacterium. RNAcentral describes it as "contains 16S-23S intergenic spacer region". It matches the Rfam family "Bacterial small subunit ribosomal RNA", at positions 524 to 776 of the family's 1533-position model. The record is from RNAcentral. Lineage: Bacteria; Pseudomonadati; Pseudomonadota; Alphaproteobacteria.
UACGAAGGGGGCUAGCGUUGUCCGGAAUCACUGGGCUUAAAGCGUACGUAGGCGGAUUUGCAAGUCAGGAGUGAAAUCCCGGGGCUCAACCCCGGAACUGCUUUUGAAACUGCAAGUCUAGAGUCCCGGAGAGGUUGUCGGAAUUCCGAGUGUAGAGGUGAAAUUCGCAGAUAUUCGGAGGAACACCAGUGGCGUAGGCGGCCAACUGGACGGGAACUGACGCUGAGGUACGAAAGCGUGGGGAGCAAACAGG